AUGUCUUCUUCAAGCUCCCGCGCCACCUCACGGAUCCAAAGCCCGGCGCACGUGGAGAUGCCGAUCUUCGUCAAUCCGUGGUGCCAGACGGGCAUGCGGAGGGUUUCUCACACACCGAAGAACUAUAAUCGUCCGUUCAACAUGUGCAGCGAGAAUGGGGUGAAAUGUUUCUUCCUUUGGGUCGAUGAUCUGGCCAAGACUCUGAUGAAUGAACUGCAAGAAGAGCAUGAAGAAUGAUUGCCCAUCCUGCCAUGAACAGCAGUGGCCGUAGCACGAGCUCCGCAAGAAGAGACGGAGGGCGGAUCACACAAUGACAGAGAGCUAGCUGUUGAGCUUAGGAGGUUGAACAAGAAGGUUAGGAAGCUCGAAGAUCAAGCACAAAUACCCAUUUGAAAUUACUUUUGGGCAUUUGUAGGUAUGGUAAUCGCACUGGGUGGAAUGUUGAAACUGUAUGGAAAGGCAUGA
This 465-nucleotide ribosomal RNA is filed under the name Triticum aestivum (bread wheat). RNAcentral describes it as "partial small subunit ribosomal RNA". Lineage: Eukaryota; Viridiplantae; Streptophyta; Magnoliopsida; Poales; Poaceae. The record is from RNAcentral.